AUUGAACGCUGGCGGCAGGCCUAACACAUGCAAGUCGAACGAGUGGCGGACGGGUGAGUAAUGUCUGGGAAACUGCCUGAUGGAGGGGGAUAAAUACUGGAAACGGUAGCUAAUACCGCAUACCAUCGGAUGUGCCCAGAUGGUAUUCGCUAGUAGGUGGGGUAAAGGCACACCUAGGCGACGAUCCCUAGCUGGUCUGAGAGGAUGCCCAGCCACACUGGAACUGAGAAACGGUCCAGACUCCUACGGGAGGCAGCAGUGGGGAAUAUUGCACAAUGGGCGCAAGCCUGAUGCAGCCAUGCCGCGUGUAUGAAGAAGGCCUUCGGGUUGUAAAGUACUUUCAGCGGGGAGGCGUUACCCGCAGAAGAAGCACCGGCUAACUCCGUGCCAGCCGCCGCGGUAAUUC
Molecule: ribosomal RNA, 406 nt
Filed under: uncultured bacterium
Lineage: Bacteria
Description: partial 16S ribosomal RNA
Rfam family: Bacterial small subunit ribosomal RNA
Source: RNAcentral